CACAUGCAAGUCGAGCGGCAGCGGAAGUAGCUUGCUACUUUGCCGGCGAGCGGCGGACGGGUGAGUAAUGUCUGGGAAACUGCCUGAUGGAGGGGGAUAACUACUGGAAACGGUAGCUAAUACCGCAUGACCUCGAAAGAGCAAAGUGGGGGAUCUUCGGACCUCACGCCAUCGGAUGUGCCCAGAUGGGAUUAGCUAGUAGGUGAGGUAAUGGCUCACCUAGGCGACGAUCCCUAGCUGGUCUGAGAGGAUGACCAGCCACACUGGAACUGAGACACGGUCCAGACUCCUACGGGAGGCAGCAGUGGGGAAUAUUGCACAAUGGGCGCAAGCCUGAUGCAGCCAUGCCACGUGUAUGAAGAAGGCCUUCGGGUUGUAAAGUACUUUCAGCGGGGAGGAAGGUGUUGUGGUUAAUAACCGCAGCAAUUGACGUUACCCGCAGAAGAAGCACCGGCUAACUCC
Molecule: ribosomal RNA, 462 nt
Filed under: uncultured bacterium
Lineage: Bacteria
Description: bacterial SSU rRNA
Rfam family: Bacterial small subunit ribosomal RNA
Source: RNAcentral